UGGGGAAUCUUAGACAAUGGGGGAAACCCUGAUCUAGCCAUGCCGCGUGAGCGAUGAAGGCCUUAGGGUUGUAAAGCUCUUUCAGUGGGGAAGAUAAUGACGGUACCCACAGAAGAAGCCCCGGCUAACUCCGUGCCAGCAGCCGCGGUAAUACGGAGGGGGCUAGCGUUGUUCGGAAUUACUGGGCGUAAAGCGCACGGAGGCGGGUUGGAAAGUAAGAGGUGAAAUCCCCGGGCUCAACCGUGGAAC
This 249-nucleotide ribosomal RNA is filed under the name uncultured bacterium. RNAcentral describes it as "partial 16S ribosomal RNA". It matches the Rfam family "Bacterial small subunit ribosomal RNA", at positions 355 to 621 of the family's 1533-position model. The record is from RNAcentral.